This 384-nucleotide unclassified non-coding RNA is filed under the name soil metagenome. RNAcentral's name for it is "partial contains 5.8S ribosomal RNA, internal transcribed spacer 2, and large subunit ribosomal RNA". The stretch from base 1 to 120 matches the Rfam family "5.8S ribosomal RNA", at positions 35 to 154 of the family's 154-position model. The record is from RNAcentral.
GAUGAAGAACGCAGCGAAAUGCGAUAGGUAAUGUGAAUUGCAGAAUUCAGUGAAUCAUCGAAUCUUAGAACGCACAUUGCGCCCUUUGGUAUUCCUUAGGGCAUGCCUGUUCGAGCGUCACUACACACCUUAUCACAAUAUUUGUGGUCUUGGCAGGAGUGAAUUGCUGGUCUAUGGAAGUAUUCCAGCAGUACACAAUGCUAAAAAAUAUGGGAAGGUUACCAGAUAUGAACAACAGACUUUGUAAAUGGUUGUAGGACCUAGAUCAGUCACAAGUCAUGUCUGGUCCCUUACCUUAAGGACCCCCAUCCUAGAUGAACUAUGGGUUGACCUCGGAUCAGGUAGGAAUACCCGCUGAACUUAAGCAUAUCAAUAAGCGGAGGA